CCUACGGGAGGCAGCAGUGGGGAAUAUUGGGCAAUGGGCGCAAGCCUGACCCAGCAACGCCGCGUGAAGGAAGAAGGCUUUCGGGUUGUAAACUUCUUUUAAGGGGGAAGAGCAGAAGACGGUACCCCUUGAAUAAGCCACGGCUAACUACGUGCCAGCAGCCGCGGUAAUACGGAGGUGGCAAGCGUUGUCCGGAUUUACUGGGUGUAAAGGGCGUGCAGCCGGAGAGACAAGUCAGAUGUGAAAUCCACGGGCUCAACCCGUGAACUGCAUUUGAAACUGUUUCCCUUGAGUGUCGGAGAGGUAAUCGGAAUUCCUUGUGUAGCGGUGAAAUGCGUAGAUAUAAGGAAGAACACCAGUGGCGAAGGCGGAUUACUGGACGAUAACUGACGGUGAGGCGCGAAAGCGUGGGGAGCAAACAGGAUUAGAUACCCCUGUAGUC
Molecule: ribosomal RNA, 442 nt
Filed under: uncultured bacterium
Lineage: Bacteria
Description: partial 16S ribosomal RNA
Rfam family: Bacterial small subunit ribosomal RNA
Source: RNAcentral